GACGAACGCUGGCGGCGUGCUUAACACAUGCAAGUCGAACGGAAAGGCCCUGCUUUUGUGGGGUGCUCGAGUGGCGAACGGGUGAGUAACACGUGAGUAACCUGCCCUUGACUUUGUGAUAACUUCAGGAAACUGGGGCUAAUACCGGAUAGGAGCUCCUGCUGCAUGGUGGGGGUUGGAAAGUUUCGGCGGUUGGGGAUGGACUCGCGGCUUAUCAGCUUGUUGGUGGGGUAGUGGCUUACCAAGGCUUUGACGGGUAGCCUGCCUGAGAGGGUGAACGGCCACAUUGGGACUGAGAUACGGCCCAGACUCCUACGGGAGGCAGCAGUGGGGAAUAUUGCACAAUGGGCGGAAGCCUGAUGCAGCAACGCCGCGUGCGGGAUGACGGCCUUCGGGUUGUAAACCGCUUUCGCCUGUGACGAAGCGUGAGUGACGGUAAUGGGUAAAGAAGCACCGGCUAACUACGUG
Molecule: ribosomal RNA, 468 nt
Filed under: uncultured bacterium
Lineage: Bacteria
Description: partial 16S ribosomal RNA
Rfam family: Bacterial small subunit ribosomal RNA
Source: RNAcentral